RNAcentral lists this non-coding RNA (104 nucleotides) under Prolemur simus (greater bamboo lemur). Lineage: Eukaryota; Metazoa; Chordata; Mammalia; Primates; Lemuridae. The record is from RNAcentral.
GUGUUGUAUGAGAGGAGAGGUUAGCACCCCCCUUGACAAGGAUGGAAGAGGCUCUCGGGCCUGUACAACAUGCAUACAGUAAAUGUAAAAAAAAAUAAAAUUGU